This is a non-coding RNA of Erinaceus europaeus (western European hedgehog), 329 nucleotides long. The record is from Rfam. NCBI's taxonomy places the organism in Eukaryota, Metazoa, Chordata, Mammalia, Eulipotyphla, Erinaceidae.
AGAUGUGAGGGCUAUCUGGCUGCCACAUCUGUCACCCCAUUGAUUCCCAGAGUUGAUUCAGCUGAUCUGUCUGGCUAGGCAGGUGUCCCCUUCCUCCCUCACCGCUCCAUGUGAGACCCUCAUAAAGCUGUGCUCUGUGGAGGAGGAGAGCCUCCCUGAAUAGAGACAGACUGGUCUUGGGUCAGGGGUAUAUGAGUAGCUGCGCUCCCCUGCUAGAACCUCCAAACAAGCUUUCAAGGCCCAUUUAUAGUAGAAUAUAGGGUAGUCAAGCUUCUAAGACUUCAGAUACAUCCAAAUGAGGCACUGCAUGUGGCAGUCUGCCUUUAAAA